CUUGGUCAUUUAGAGGAAGUAAAAGUCGUAACAAGGUCUCCGUUGGUGAACCAGCGGAGGGAUCAUUAAAGAGUUCUAUAACUCCCAAAACCCAUGUGAACAUACCUCACGUCGCCUCGGCAGGUCGCGCCUACCUCGUAGCGUCCUACCCUGUAGACGCGGGUAAGCCUGCCGGCGGCCCACGAAACUCUGUUUAGCACUGAAUUCUGAACCUAUAACUAAAUAAGUUAAAACUUUCAACAACGGAUCUCUUGGUUCUGGCAUCGAUGAAGAACGCAGCGAAAUGCGAUAAGUAAUGUGAAUUGCAGAAUUCAGUGAAUCAUCGAAUCUUUGAACGCACAUUGCGCCCAUUAGUAUUCUAGUGGGCAUGCCUGUUCGAGCGUCAUUUCAACCCUUAAGCCUCUGUUGCUUAGUGUUGGGAGCCUACGGUAUAGUAGCUCCCUAAAGUUAGUGGCGGAGUCGGUUCACACUCUAGACGUAGUAGAUUUUAUCUCGCCUAUCAGUUGGACCGGUCCCCUGCCGUAAAACCCCCCC
This 534-nucleotide ribosomal RNA is filed under the name Xylaria sp. 851. RNAcentral's name for it is "eukaryotic LSU rRNA". The stretch from base 232 to 385 matches the Rfam family "5.8S ribosomal RNA". Lineage: Eukaryota; Fungi; Ascomycota; Sordariomycetes; Xylariales; Xylariaceae. The record is from RNAcentral.